CAAGAAGUGAUGAUGAGGACACGAUCAAUUUUUUACGAUUCUCAGAGAGGGAAGCCUUUGGCUGUGAGCUUCCUAAUACGGAAAGAUAGAUUACCACCUCUGAACUGCAGCAGUGAAAGAGCAACAAGUAAUUGCUUGCCGGCAAACACCGUUAUCUAGACUUGAGAAAUUGGUGAAGUGUGUUUUAUUUUAUCAAUUAAACAAGGGUGGAACCACGAAUAUAACACUCGUCCCUUUU
RNAcentral lists this non-coding RNA (238 nucleotides) under Bacillus cereus. RNAcentral describes it as "T-box sequence". It matches the Rfam family "T-box leader". Rfam says of the family: Uncharged tRNA acts as the effector for transcription antitermination of genes in the T-box leader family. T-boxes are found upstream of many aminoacyl-tRNA synthetase genes and some amino acid biosynthetic genes usually in Gram-positive bacteria. Lineage: Bacteria; Bacillati; Bacillota; Bacilli; Caryophanales; Bacillaceae. The record is from RNAcentral.